CAGCUCUGAGUUGUUUCUUUUGAAAAUGAUUGCUUGAUGAUAAAGUUUCAAACAACUAUGAAGUGAGUGGAUGUUCUAGAGAGACUAAUUCUUCAAAGAAUGAAUGAUCAUCAUCAUCCUUAUAUUGGAAUAAAAGGAAGGAAGUGACAGCUACAGUCAUGGUAAAAGUAAAUGCAGUCAGAAGACCUCUGAUAUCACCUGAAGAGUCAGCCUUCUCAAGAUUCUGUCAAAUAAAAAUAACAAGGACUGCUUAAAAGACUUUUUAUAAGUUGCAAAUGUGCAGUCUGUGACAUAACUGUCUGAUCCAGGUAGUUUAGUGUUGUCAAGAUGACAUUUCAUCUCUAUAGUAGAGGACACAAGUUUGAAAUGCAGUAUGUCAUUGUGAAGGCAAAAUGUUUAUGAAAAUAGUGUGUGUGUUUUCCAAAUAGAGAGGCUGAAAGUAGGGAAUCAUCAAUUAGUGUUUUUGGAAUAAGUUAUGGA
Mercenaria mercenaria is the source of this 480-nucleotide long non-coding RNA. RefSeq lists it as uncharacterized. The record is from RefSeq and is a predicted model, not a curated record. NCBI's taxonomy places the organism in Eukaryota, Metazoa, Mollusca, Bivalvia, Venerida, Veneridae. The transcript has 3 exons.